UUGCAGCCAAUUGCCGACUGUGCUCUUUUCCCGUGGGGGCCCAGUGCAGUGGCUGCAAACAGCAGCCUCCUCGGUAGUGUAUGCAGCCUGUUGCCUGUACAGGUUGCCCUAAGGGACCUUGGAUACAACU
RNAcentral lists this small nucleolar RNA (130 nucleotides) under Bos grunniens (domestic yak). RNAcentral's name for it is "Small nucleolar RNA SNORA70 (ENSBGRG00000021945.1)". It matches the Rfam family "Small nucleolar RNA SNORA70". From Rfam's summary of the family: snoRNA U70 seems to be exclusive to mammals and is a member of the H/ACA class of snoRNA which contain H (ANANNA) and ACA box motifs. H/ACA box snoRNAs are involved in the conversion of uridines to pseudouridines (5-ribosyluracil) a constituent of structural RNAs (transfer, ribosomal, small nuclear, and small nucleolar). The record is from Rfam by way of RNAcentral. Lineage: Eukaryota; Metazoa; Chordata; Mammalia; Artiodactyla; Bovidae.